RNAcentral lists this ribosomal RNA (439 nucleotides) under uncultured bacterium. Its description in RNAcentral is "partial 16S ribosomal RNA". It matches the Rfam family "Bacterial small subunit ribosomal RNA", at positions 338 to 794 of the family's 1533-position model. The record is from RNAcentral.
CCUACGGGUGGCAGCAGUGGGGAAUAUUGGACAAUGGGGGGAACCCUGAUCCAGCGACGCCGCGUGAGUGAAGAAGUAUUUCGGUUUGUAAAGCUCUAUCAGCAGGGAAGAGAAUGACGGUACCUGACUAAAAAGCCCCGGCUAACUCCGUGCCAGCAGCCGCGGUAAUACGUGGGGGGCACGCGUGAUCCGGUUUUACGGGGGGUAAAGGGAGCGUGGCGGGGGGAGCAAGUCUGAUGUGAAAGGUCGGGGCCCACCCCCGGGACUGCAUUGGAAACUGUUGAACUGGAGUACAGGGGAGGUAAGGGGAAUUCCUGGUGAAGCGGUGAAAUGGGUAGAAAUUAGGAGGAACCCAGGUGGCGAAGGCGGCUUACUGGACGGUAACUGAGGUUGGGGGUCGAAAGCGUGGGAAGCAACCAGGAUUGGAUACCCUGGUAGU